AUCAACUACAUCUCCAUUGAUGAUUGAACCUUAGCAAUUCAUUCAGUACAAAAUUGGAACAAGAUACUCCCUGACUUCAAGAAUUUCACAAUGAAUUGGGAUAGGCACAAGGGUCAGGUAAUUAUCUUAGCUCUUGCUUGGGUAGCCAGGGGUAUGUAAAUCAGAUUAGGAGCACCAGGAUUCCUUUCAAGGGAGGUGAUAUUGAGCAGAGAUGUGAUGGUAGAGUACACAUUAAUUAGGAAAACAGGUGGUGGGAAGUCAUUCUGAGCAGAGGGAAGAACAUGCGGGAAGCCAUAGAGCGUCAUAAGGCAUGACCCUAUCCCAGCGCUGCUAGAGGUUCCGUAUAUCUAAAGAUGAUGCAGGAGCCAGAACUAGGGGCUGGAUAAUGGAGAAGCUUGCAUGCUAAACUUAUUACGAACUUUAUUUUGAAAGUAGUGGAACGUUAUUGGACCACUUCAAAAGCGGAGUGUUACGUUCAGGCUUGAAUUUUAGAAAUAUCUGUCUGGUAGCCAUGUGCAGGUUGGUUGGAAAGGGAGGCAUCAGACAGGAGACGAAUGAGAAAGCUGUUGCAGUCAUCUGGGUGAGAAACCAACGAGGGCCUGAAUAAGAUGGCGGCUGGAGACUAGCGCUGGAGAGGGGGAGCCUUCCAUAUCCGGCCACUUCUCUCCACAGCCGCCAUUUUGGCAGAAGCCUAAGCCUUGCUCAUCCCUUACUUAGGCUACAUUUUCAAAAGUCAGAAAAAACUUUUUCCUGAAGAAGGGGUUUCUGAGACAAGUAGGUCAAAGAAAGGCCAGCGUGUGGGAGUGUGUGUGUGUGUGUGUGUGUGUGUGUGUGUCCUUGAGUAAAAUUGCAAGCCAAAGAGGAAGGCAGCAGUAUGUAUUCUCUGUAGGUGAGCAGGAAGCUUGCGGCCCUACACAGUGCUGACGUAAUGAGUCCGUCCUGUGCCUAUUCAUUCAAAACAGGAUUGAGACGUCAGCUUGACAAAGCUUUCUCUCCUCGCAGGACCCCUAUUUGUGACCAAUUGUAAGAUCAUCUGAAGAUCGAGUCCGAUUGCCUGGCCAGGCCGGGCUGGGUGGUAUGUGCCCCCGUCACGCCGGAGGUUCCUGCUUUAGCGACGCCAAAGAUUGGGUGUGAGGGCAGCCCGCGGUGACAGAGACACGGAUCGGACCGAGAGAAAAAGGCUGUGGGCUUCACUGAGCAGAGUGACGAAUUUCAACCCUUCUUGCUACAUUCAAGACAUAGAAAUCCAGCCAGAAGACAACUCGAGAUAUUUUGUGGAUCUAUGCCUUUCCUUCAGAAAAGCAAAUAUCUACCAUAAAAAAACACUGGUCCAAUAUUCACUUCUAUAAGAAAUGCAGGGGCAAAUAAAUUAUGGAUUUUAUUAUCGCUAAUAGAGUCACUUAACCAUUACUCCUUACUACAUUCUGCUUUUCUAACAAAAUUUCGACUGAAUAUUCUCCCUCAGAGCCUCCAAAAGGAACCAACUGAUGACAACUGAUUUUGGACUUCUGGCCUCCUGAACUAUAACAAAAUAAACAUCUGUUGUUUUAAGCAAGCCAGGUUGUGAUUGUUACAGAAGCUCUAGGAAACUAAAAUACUUAAUAUCUAAGUAUCUUAAAACUAAGAUACCUUCUUAUACCUUCUUAUCAUGCGAUCAUAGAAAAUAUGUCCAAUUAGUCACAAGUGGGAUUGGGCAAGAGAAGAUGGAUAAGGGGUGUAAAUCCUUCACCACAAUUAAGAAAUUAUACGUAGAAAUUGCAUUCUAUUGGUGAAGCAAUAAAAUCAUUGUUGGGAAUAAGAACAGCAUUACAGUGUGGUGGCUCAAACCUGUACUCCCAGCAAUUUGGGAGGCUGAGGCAGGCGAUUCA
Molecule: long non-coding RNA, 1868 nt
Filed under: Homo sapiens (human)
Lineage: Eukaryota; Metazoa; Chordata; Mammalia; Primates; Hominidae
Description: HSALNT0246988
Source: RNAcentral